GACGAACGCUGGCGGCGUGCUUAACACAUGCAAGUCGAACGGAAAGGCCCUGCUUUUGUGGGGUGCUCGAGUGGCGAACGGGUGAGUAACACGUGAGUAACCUGCCCUUGACUUUGGGAUAACUUCAGGAAACUGGGGCUAAUACCGGAUAGGAGCUCCUGCUGCAUGGUGGGGGUUGGAAAGUUUCGGCGGUUGGGGAUGGACUCGCGGCUUAUCAGCUUGUUGGUGGGGUAGUGGCUUACCAAGGCUUUGACGGGUAGCCGGCCUGAGAGGGUGACCGGCCACAUUGGGACUGAGAUACGGCCCAGACUCCUACGGGAGGCAGAAGUGGGGAAUAUUGCACAAUGGGCGGAAGCCUGGUGCAGCAACGCCGCGUGCGGGAUGACGGCCUUCGGGUUGUAAACCGCUUUCGCCUGUGACGAAGCGUGAGUGACGGUAAUGGGUAAAGAAGCACCGGCUAACUACGUG
Molecule: ribosomal RNA, 468 nt
Filed under: uncultured bacterium
Lineage: Bacteria
Description: partial 16S ribosomal RNA
Rfam family: Bacterial small subunit ribosomal RNA
Source: RNAcentral